UAGUAGUAAUUAAUAAUAAUAAAAUAUUAAAUAUUUUCUUGUGUAUCUCAUUUGGUACAUCUACCGAAAAUAUUUCACUGUAGGCUGCAGAUAUGAACCCGAUAAUGCCUUCUCCGGCGAUGGUGAUAGUGACGGCGACGACGAUCUCUCCGAUAGCGGCGGAAGAAGGAAUUGGGCGCACAUUAGUGAGAGAGAGAGGGAGUGAGGGAAGGAGGCGAUGGUGUAUAGCUAAAGAUGAGAAAUAAAGAAUUGAUGAACAAAUCGAAGAUAAAGGAUUGAAAGUUCAGUGGAAGGAGAAAAUGGACCAUGAUGAAUAAUUGGAGAUAGAGGUUAGGAUCGUAUAUAGUAGUAGGACCAUUUAAAUAUAUUAAUUGAAAGUUUGGUAGUGGAACCAUUUACAUUAAUUGAAAGUAUAGUGGAGGGAAGGUAGUGGGACCAUUUAAACGUACUAAUUGAAAGUUUGAUUAAUGAGACCGUUAAAAUAUAUAUUGAAAAUUUAGUGAACAUGAUGAAUAAUUGGAUAUAGAGAGAUUAAGAUCGUAGAUAGUAGUAGGAUCAUUUAAAUAUACUAAUUGAAAGUUUGGUAGUGAAACCAUUUACAUUAAUUGAAAAUAUAGUGGAGGAAAGGUAAUAGGACCAUUUAAAUGCACUAAUUAAAAGUUUGUUUAAUGGGACCAUUAAAAUGCAUAUUGAAAAUUUAGUGAUGGAAAGAAGAAGAGUUACAUUAGUGAGGGUGAAGAAAAACUUGCCACGUGGCAACAAAUAUUGAGGAUUCAUAUAGUUUAAUAGAUAGAUGGAUACACUAUCAAAUCACCAUCCAAUCUGUUUAGAUU
RNAcentral lists this long non-coding RNA (833 nucleotides) under Ananas comosus (pineapple). RNAcentral's name for it is "long non-coding RNA (ACOM_LNC010796)". The record is from RNAcentral. Lineage: Eukaryota; Viridiplantae; Streptophyta; Magnoliopsida; Poales; Bromeliaceae.